RNAcentral lists this ribosomal RNA (795 nucleotides) under Anaerococcus murdochii. RNAcentral describes it as "bacterial SSU rRNA". It matches the Rfam family "Bacterial small subunit ribosomal RNA", at positions 85 to 904 of the family's 1533-position model. Lineage: Bacteria; Bacillati; Bacillota; Tissierellia; Tissierellales; Peptoniphilaceae. The record is from RNAcentral.
AAGUGGAUUAGUGGCGGACGGGUGAGUAACGCGUGAGUAACCUGCCUUAGAGAAGGGGAUAGCCUUUGGAAACGAAGAAUAAUACCCUAUGAAACCAUAACCUCGCAUGAGGCCUUGGUCAAAGAUUUAUCGCUCUAAGAUGGACUUGCGUCUGAUUAGUUAGUUGGUGGGGUAACGGCCUACCAAGACAGCGAUCAGUAGCCGGCUUGAGAGAGUGUACGGCCACAUUGGGACUGAGACACGGCCCAGACUCCUACGGGAGGCAGCAGUGGGGAAUUUUGCACAAUGGGGGAAACCCUGAUGCAGCGACGCCGCGUGAUUUAGAAGGCCUUCGGGUUGUAAAAAUCUUUUCUAUGGGAAGAAAAUGACAGUACCAUAGGAAUAAGGACCGGCUAAUUACGUGCCAGCAGCCGCGGUAAUACGUAAGGUCCGAGCGUUGUCCGGAAUCAUUGGGCGUAAAGGGUACGUAGGCGGGUAAGCAAGUUAGAAGUGAAAUCCUAUAGCUCAACUAUAGUAAGCUUUUAAAACUGCUCAUCUUGAGGUAUGGAAGGGAAAGUGGAAUUCCUAGUGUAGCGGUGAAAUGCGCAGAUAUUAGGAGGAAUACCGGUGGCGAAGGCGACUUUCUGGCCAUAACCUGACGCUGAGGUACGAAAGCGUGGGUAGCAAACAGGAUUAGAUACCCUGGUAGUCCACGCCGUAAACGAUGAGUGUUAGGUGUCUGGAGUAAAUCUGGGUGCCGCAGCUAACGCAUUAAACACUCCGCCUGGGGAGUACGCGCGCAAGCGUGAAACUCAA